GAUACCCUGGAGGCCAAACCACCCCUCAGAGGAGCAGCUGAAGCAGGAUGUAAACCACAGCUGGAUGGGGAAAAGUUUUCAAUCCAAGACAGGAGUCAAAUCCCUCUGAACCAUGAUUUGUUGUGGACGUUUCAAUGGAAAUCUGAGCUUUAACUGGAAUAGGCUUCCGUAGAGGCAGCCAGACAAUACUCAUCUAUGACUGGGCGGCAUGAGUGACAGACCAAGCAGUUUGGUUGAGGAAGGAGAACACAAAAUAGGCUGGAAAGAAUGCAUUGCAUGGAGAAAUAAACAAACCUCAGGCUGCACUGAAGUAAUGUGUUAUCCUCAUGCAUUUUUAUCACCCCGUUCAUUAUUAAAAAUCCCAGUUCAACCAACUCA
This is a long non-coding RNA of Amphiprion ocellaris (clown anemonefish), 378 nucleotides long. RefSeq lists it as uncharacterized. The record is from RefSeq and is a predicted model, not a curated record. Lineage: Eukaryota; Metazoa; Chordata; Actinopteri; Pomacentridae. The transcript has 2 exons.